ACUUUAAGCAGUGAAGAAGACUCUUCGGUUAAUACCCGGAGACGAUGACAUUAGCUGCAGAAUAAGCACCGGCUAACUCUGUGCCAGCAGCCGCGGUAAUACAGAGGGUGCAAGCGUUAAUCGGAAUUACUGGGCGUAAAGCGAGCGUAGGUGGCUUGAUAAGUCAGAUGUGAAAUCCCCGGGCUUAACCUGGGAACUGCAUCUGAUACUGUCAGGCUAGAGUAGGUGAGAGGAAGGUAGAAUUCCAGGUGUAGCGGUGAAAUGCGUAGAGAUCUGGAGGAAUACCGAUGGCGAAGGCAGCCUUCUGGCAUCAUACUGACACUGAGGCUCGAAAGCGUGGGUAGCAAACAGGAUUAGAUACCCUGGUAGUCCACGCCGUAAACGAUGUCUACUAGUCGUUGGGUCCCUUGAGGACUUAGUGACGCAGCUAACGCAAUAAGUAGACCGCCUGGGGAGUACGGCCGCAAGGUUAAAACUCAAAUGAAUUGACGGGGGCCCGCACAAGCGGUGGAGCAUGUGGUUUAAUUCGAUGCAACGCGAAGAACCUUACCUGGUCUUGACAUAUCUAGAAUCCUGCAGAGAUGCGGGAGUGCCUUCGGGAAUUAGAAUACAGGUGCUGCAUGGCUGUCGUCAGCUCGUGUCGUGAGAUGUUGGGUUAAGUCCCGCAACGAGCGCAACCCUUGUCCUUAGUUACCAGCGGGUUAAGCCGGGAACUCUAAGGAUACUGCCAGUGACAAACU
RNAcentral lists this ribosomal RNA (740 nucleotides) under Psychrobacter alimentarius. RNAcentral's name for it is "bacterial SSU rRNA". It matches the Rfam family "Bacterial small subunit ribosomal RNA", at positions 432 to 1164 of the family's 1533-position model. Lineage: Bacteria; Pseudomonadati; Pseudomonadota; Gammaproteobacteria; Moraxellales; Moraxellaceae. The record is from RNAcentral.